This is an RNA transcript of Prionailurus viverrinus (fishing cat), 3302 nucleotides long. It is a transcript of the gene named myelin protein zero like 2, with no coding region annotated. The record is from RefSeq and is a predicted model, not a curated record. The transcript is spliced from 7 exons. Lineage: Eukaryota; Metazoa; Chordata; Mammalia; Carnivora; Felidae.
CUGGAGCGGCCUUGGCAGGGUGUUGGAGCCCUCGGUCUGCCCGGUCUGGUCUCUGGGGCCAGGGCUGGGUUCCCUCAUGUAUGGCAAGAGCACUUCGUGUGCUGGGCUGCUUCUCCUUGGCGUGCAGCUCACAGCCCUUUGGCCUAUAGCAGCUGUGGAAAUUUACACCUCCCAAGUGCUGGAGGCUGUCAACGGGACAGAUGUUCGGUUAAAAUGCACUUUCUCCAGCUUUGCCCCCGUGGGUGAUGCGCUAACAGUGACCUGGAACUUCCGUCCUCGAGAUGGGGGCCCCGAGCAGUUUGUAUUCUACUACCAUGUGGAUCCCUUCAAACCCAUGAGUGGGCGUUUCAAGGAUCGAGUGGUCUGGGACGGGAACCCUGAGCGGUACGACGUCUCCAUCAUCCUCUGGAAGCUGCAGUUUGACGACAAUGGGACAUACACCUGCCAGGUGAAGAACCCACCUGACGUUGAUGGGCUGAUAGGGGAGAUUCGGCUGAGCGUCGUGCACACUGUACGCUUCUCUGAGAUCUACUUCCUGGCUCUGGCCAUUGGCUCUGCCUGUGCCCUGAUGGUCAUAAUAGUAAUCGUGGUGGUCCUCGUCCAGCAUUUCCGGAAAAAGCGAUGGGCCGAAAGAGCUCAUAAAGUGGUGGAGAUAAAAUCGCAAGGAGAACGUAAAGUGCCCCCCACCUCCCCAGACUGAGAAGGCACUCUGAAACUGGAAGAGAUACAGAAUACGCAGAGUUCUAUGUUAAGUGACUUCCUGCCAGGGAGGAUCAGGAGGACCGCCAUCUGGACAGCUGCGCAGCCAGUCUCCUCAGAAGCCCUGCGUUUUAGCUUACUGGUUUUAAAGGAGCUGGACGUGCGGGGGAGUGUUUGCAUAUACGUGACUGGUGGCUAAUGUCUAGCAGACCUUAUGGCAUCAUCCAUGCGUUUGCAGAAAACUAUGUUAUCUGCACUGGUGUCUUAAUGGGCCCAUUGAAAUCCAGAACAGAUUCCCUGGACAUUCUGGUUUUAGAAGAAAAGAAGAGGAAAGGCUCAACCAAGAUAAAAAGGUCUCUGUUUAUUUAGAAGACGCAGACUGACAUUCUUAGAUGGAAGCUGAAGAUUCCCAAGAACAAGCACCCUAGGAUAAGCUGAAGUUAAUGGAAGCUUUUCUUUGGCUUUACCAGUUGUGACUUGUCUUCCAACCAGCCCUGCAGUACAUAACCACCCAGAGAAGCAACGUCUCUCUGGAGCCAGCAUAGGCCCAGGGCCCUCUUGAGCUGAUACCGGGAGACUCACACACAGCCCGUCGCUACGGUUUUAUUUAAUUUCAGAGUGCAAAUACUUUUCAAAUGCUCAUGAGCUUUUUAUACUGAGAAACUACAUUUUUGCCCUUGAACACUCCUUGGGGAUUGUUAAUUGUAUGCAUGCCCACUGGUGUCAAAUGAGAUGAAAGCCAUCUUGUCAGUCAUGACAUUUCCUUUAACGUAUUAGUUUCUUCAGAGCAGCACUCUUGCUACUAAGGUUAAUGUGUUUACUUUUUCCUUCUCAGUCUCCACUAAAAGAUGAGCCAAUUCUCUCCGCCGUUUUUGAUCAAUUAACAGGAAACCCUAAAUCCCAUUCUUCAACAGUUUGAUUUUUAUGGCUCUCCUUGAGUAUGGGACACAUCUUGUUUUAUUGAAUUUCUUUCAGUAUCCCAGAUGAUUGUUUUGGUUGAUCCCACAUUUAUAAUUAGCACAAAUCUAAAUCACAGAGUAGCUAGAAGAGUUUAUGUAAAUGCUUAUGGAUUGACAAAUGCCACCUCAGGAUGAAUCACUUGUCACCUUUUUUCUCUGUGUUCCGAAAAAACAACCAACAGAGCAAGUCUUCCGUGAGCAGUGGAUACUGUUCAGCUUACUGUUCAGUUAUAACAGCAGAGCAAAAUCUGUGGUCUUUUGCAGACUGGAAUCAUCAAGCAGUUACACAGAAGGUUCUGGAAUAGUAUAUUAUGACUAUAAAAAUUUAGGGCUGGUGAAAAAAAUCAAGCCUAAGUGAUGAUAAUUUUGUACAGUGUUAUAUAAAGCUCUGAGAACUGGAUGAGAUUUUUUUUCCCCUCUCCUUUUCUUUAUAUUAUUUUAUUUUUGCUUUAAUUUGCUUGUUUUGAGGGAGGGAGGAUUUGGUAUGGGGCAAAGAAAUACCAAAACUAACAAUAUGAAACCAACUUUAUUCUUUCUUCCCUUAUGCCAGUAGAGACAGCAACCUUUAUAAGUAGGCUAUGGAAAGAAAAGUGCUUUUUCAAAAGUGUUUAACCUCCCAGUGUCUUUCCAAACUUAAGUUAUAGCAGCAUUUAUUAAAAAAAUAGAAAACAUCUGAAAGUUUAGUUGCCCCCACCCCUGCCCCAUCUUUAUAGCCUAAUAACUUCAGUUUUCACUGACUGGGCCAAAGAUGUUCUUUCUUUUAACAAACUGGAAUUUUCAAAUAGGUUAUCUGUAUUUAAAUAUGCUGAACUUUGAAUAUUUUUUCUAGUAUUUUUAGAAAAAUUGGUACAAUAUUCAUAUGAACCUGGAUUCUGCAUUCAUUCUCUACCUAUCUCAUUUUGCCUUUUACACGAAAAAAGUAAAAUUUUAACACCCAAUUUGGAAACUAAAAGUUACAUUAAAAGUAUUUAUUAUUAUUAUUAUUUGAGAGAGAGCACAAGCUAGCGGGGGAGGGGCUGAGAGAGAGGGGAGACAGGAUUCGAAGCAGGGCCCACGCUGUCAGUGCAGCGCGAUGUGGGGCCUGAACUUAGGAACUAUGAGAUCAUGACCUGAGCUGAAGUCAGAUGUUUAACCGACUGAGCCACCCAGGUGCCCCAAAACUAAAAGUUGGCUUUCAGGUCUAUAUUACUUUUAAAUUACAUUUUCUACUUUUCUCCAUAAUUCAACCUUUGAAAAUAACAAUAUUUUUUCAAACAGAUGGCCUGAAUGGUGUCCCAAAAGUGUAAUGAAGUAGUUAAAACCUCAUGGAAAAUCUUUUCAGCAAAACUUGUAGCUUGUGUCUUGGCUAAAUAUUCAGGGGUUAAUAUGACCCUAUUGUUCAGUACCUUUUUCCUAAAGAGAACUUUUGUAUGGUAAUUUAUUUUUUAUUGUGCCUAAACACAUAUGUAAAUAACCUUUAGUAGUAAAGAAUUAUCAAUUGUAUAAUUUGCUUACAUACAAAUCGAAAAAGUUUACAUAGCAAGUACUCAAAAACACAUGGUUAUGUAUUUUAUCAUUACUGAGAAAUUUUCUUAGAGCCUGGAAGUCAAUAAUGGGUGAAAUUAGUUUAUACUGGAUAAAUAAAUGUUUAUACUGGAUAAAGAA